Molecule: ribosomal RNA, 745 nt
Filed under: uncultured bacterium
Lineage: Bacteria
Description: bacterial SSU rRNA
Rfam family: Bacterial small subunit ribosomal RNA
Source: RNAcentral
ACGCUGGCGGCAGGCCUAACACAUGCAAGUCGAGCGGUAGAGAGAAGCUUGCUUCUCUUGAGAGCGGCGGACGGGUGAGUAAUGCCUAGGAAUCUGCCUGGUAGUGGGGGAUAACGUUCGGAAACGGACGCUAAUACCGCAUACGUCCUACGGGAGAAAGCAGGGGACCUUCGGGCCUUGCGCUAUCAGAUGAGCCUAGGUCGGAUUAGCUAGUUGGUGGGGUAAUGGCUCACCAAGGCGACGAUCCGUAACUGGUCUGAGAGGAUGAUCAGUCACACUGGAACUGAGACACGGUCCAGACUCCUACGGGAGGCAGUAGUGGGGAAUAUUGGACAAUGGGCGAAAGCCUGAUCCAGCCAUGCCGCGUGUGUGAAGAAGGUCUUCGGAUUGUAAAGCACUUUAAGUUGGGAGGAAGGGUUGUAGAUUAAUACUCUGCAAUUUUGACGUUACCGACAGAAUAAGCACCGGCUAACUCUGUGCCAGCAGCCGCGGUAAUACAGAGGGUGCAAGCGUUAAUCGGAAUUACUGGGCGUAAAGCGCGCGUAGGUGGUUAGUUAAGUUGGAUGUGAAAUCCCCGGGCUCAACCUGGGAACUGCAUUCAAAACUGACUGACUAGAGUAUGGUAGAGGGUGGUGGAAUUUCCUGUGUAGCGGUGAAAUGCGUAGAUAUAGGAAGGAACACCAGUGGCGAAGGCGACCACCUGGACUGAUACUGACACUGAGGUGCGAAAGCGUGGGGAGCAAAC